GACGAACGCUGGCGGCGUGCUUAACACAUGCAAGUCGAACGAUGAACCCGGAGCUUGCUCCGGUGGAUUAGUGGCGAACGGGUGAGUAACACGUGAGUAACCCGCCCUUGACUCUGGGAUAACUGCGGGAAACUGUAGCUAAUACCGGAUACGACCCUCGGCGGCAUCGCCAGGGGGUGGAAAGAAUUUCGGUCAAGGAUGGACUCGCGGCCUAUCAGCUAGUUGGUGAGGUAACGGCUCACCAAGGCGACGACGGGUAGCCGGCCUGAGAGGGUGACCGGCCACACUGGGACUGAGACACGGCCCAGACUCCUACGGGAGGCAGCAGUGGGGAAUAUUGCACAAUGGGCGCAAGCCUGAUGCAGCAACGCCGCGUGAGGGAUGACGGCCUUCGGGUUGUAAACCUCUUUCAGCACCGACGAAGCGCAAGUGACGGUAGGUGCAGAAGAAGGACCGGCCAACUACGUGCCAGCCGCCGCCGUAA
This 484-nucleotide ribosomal RNA is filed under the name uncultured bacterium. RNAcentral's name for it is "partial 16S ribosomal RNA". It matches the Rfam family "Bacterial small subunit ribosomal RNA", at positions 28 to 523 of the family's 1533-position model. The record is from RNAcentral.